AGCCCAUUUCACACCCGGGGUGUUCUCCUUUGUUUAGGAGCAAAGCAGACAAAACCCACAUCAUCUGCCUGCUUGAAAAAAUAGAAAAUAUUCUCUUAAUCAACUGGUGUCUCAUGGCUCUAAGACCAGUGAUUUUACUCUGGGACAGUGACUUUCCUCAUGGAACAAGAUUUAAGGCACUCCCUAAGCUCAGAAUUUGGGGUUGAUGGGUGAGAAAGGAGCAGUGUCCAGGCCUCUCCAAACCUGGGAGCAGCCACUGCUUUCAGACUGAGCUGAAAGGCUUCACAUCCUGCAAAGCCUCGCUUGCCAGGAACAGCAGAACUCCACAGGCUGGCAAAGGUGAGCCUAAAACUUCAUCUCCACGAGAUGAAAAUCAAGAAGAACUCAUACAAUCUUUCCCUGGCAGAAACAACAGCAAAACAAGCAGCCCUUGGCAGGCAAGAGAUGCUCUGCAAUGCACUUUGGGAAGUGCCCUGCAGUUGUACUGACACGACCUGCUCAGCUCAAUAACUGCCACGGAACAGAGAGCAGGCAGUGGGAAGGUCAGGUGGAAAUUAGAUUCCAAAAGAGACACUGCACAUUUAAAAUUCUCCAGCCUCGGGAGGACAGAAUUGAGUUGUUUAUCCAGGAGGAAGCAUGUCUGGCUAACAUUGAGUUUGCAUUUAAUUGGCACUGAUGAACAAUAAAGUUGCAAACUCCUUU
Long non-coding RNA from Vidua macroura (Pin-tailed whydah), 702 nucleotides. RefSeq lists it as uncharacterized. The record is from RefSeq and is a predicted model, not a curated record. The transcript has 2 exons. Lineage: Eukaryota; Metazoa; Chordata; Aves; Passeriformes; Viduidae.